This 460-nucleotide ribosomal RNA is filed under the name uncultured bacterium. RNAcentral describes it as "partial 16S ribosomal RNA". It matches the Rfam family "Bacterial small subunit ribosomal RNA", at positions 338 to 795 of the family's 1533-position model. The record is from RNAcentral.
CCUACGGGAGGCAGCAGUGAGGAAUAUUGGUCAAUGGACGAGAGUCUGAACCAGCCAAGUAGCGUGAAGGAUGACUGCCCUAUGGGUUGUAAACUUCUUUUAUAUGGGAAUAAAAUGUUCCACGUGUGGGAUUUUGUAUGUACCAUAGGAAUAAGGAUCGGCUAACUCCGUGCCAUCAGCCGCGGUAAUACGGAGGAUCCGAGCGUUAUCCGGAUUUAUUGGGUUGAAAUGGACGGUAGGUGGAUUGUUAAGUCAGUUGUGAAAGUUUGCGGCUCAACCGUAAAAUUGCAGUUGAAACUGGCAGUCUUGAGUACAGUAGAGGUGGGCGGAAUUCGUGGUGUAGCGGUGAAAUGCUUAGAUAUCACGAAGAACUCCGAUUGCGAAGGCAGCUCACUGGACUGCAACUGACACUGAGGCUCGAAAGUGUGGGUAUCAAACAGGAUUAGAUACCCCAGUAGUC